UGGGCCAAAAAGAAAAAAAGAUUAAUAUAAAGUAGUCUUAUGGGUUAAACAUUCUUUUCAGAAUUUUGACCCUAGAAUAUAAUACCUAGUUUUGUCCUGUUGCUUAUCCUCUAAGUAGAGUAUAUAGUACCGGUAAAGAAAUAAUAUGUCACACUGAAUAAAAUGAGUACUUUUCAGUAAUUCUCAGAAUAGGAAAUGUUUCCAAUGCAUAAUACUCCACCUGAUCCUUAAUAUUUUUUCUGUUGGUGACCUUGUGACCUGAUUGAUUCUAUAUAUUCUUCUGUUGAUGGUAGACAGAAGAAAACAGCUUGUUUUUCCAGGCAAGUCUAAACAUAAGCAGUCAAUUCCUCCUUAAUUUCUCUACCAGUUUCAUAUUGAUUUCCCCAGUGUGAGCAAUGUAAUGAAUGGAUUGUGUACUAGAUUUAACAUUUAAAAUUGUAA
RNAcentral lists this long non-coding RNA (441 nucleotides) under Bos taurus (domestic cattle). RNAcentral's name for it is "long non-coding RNA NONBTAT023808". The record is from RNAcentral. Lineage: Eukaryota; Metazoa; Chordata; Mammalia; Artiodactyla; Bovidae.